CCCGGUGGAGUUUCGUCUUUAAACGGUUGCUGUUUAGAGCAGUACGAAGGUAGCGCAGUAAAUCGUCCUUUGAUUUGGGAAUAGUAUGAAUGGCUUGACGUGAGGAGGUCUGUCUCGGACUCAUUUGUUGAUGUUUAUUUCUGUGUGAAAAGGCUCAGAUUUUUUCAUUAGACGAGAAGACCCCGUCGAGCUUGAUGGGGGCUGGGGUAUCGUUCUUAGUUCGAAGUUUAGCUGGGGUGACUUGAUGCAGAAUUAACGCAUUCGAAGUAUUAGGUGUGAAGAUCCUCUAUUAGGGACAUGAAGAAAAAGCUACCGCGGGGAUAACAGCGUAAUGUCCUUGGAAAGGUCUUAUUGAAGAGGGGUGUUGCGACCUCGAUGUUGAAUUAGGGUUUCGUCUUGGCGCAGCCGUUGAGAUAGUGGGACUGUUCGUCCUUUAAAAUUCUACGUGAUCUGA
RNAcentral lists this ribosomal RNA (454 nucleotides) under Neoteredo reynei. RNAcentral's name for it is "partial 16S ribosomal RNA". It matches the Rfam family "Bacterial large subunit ribosomal RNA", at positions 1862 to 2608 of the family's 2925-position model. The record is from RNAcentral. Lineage: Eukaryota; Metazoa; Mollusca; Bivalvia; Myida; Teredinidae.